GACGAACGCUGGCGGCGUGCUUAACACAUGCAAGUCGAACGAUGACGACCGAGCUUGCUCGGUCUGAUUAGUGGCGAGCGGGUGAGUAACACGUGAGCAACCUGCCCUUCACUCUGGGAUAACCUCGGGAAAUCGGGGCUAAUACCGGAUAUGAGCUCCUGUCGCAUGGCGGGUGUUGGAAAGUUUUUCGGUGCAGGAUGGGCUCGCGGCCUAUCAGUUUGUUGGUGAGGUAGUGGCUCACCAAGGCGAUGACGGGUAGCCGGCCUGAGAGGGCGACCGGCCACACUGGGACUGAGACACGGCCCAGACUCCUACGGGAGGCAGCAGUGGGGAAUAUUGCACAAUGGGCGAAAGCCUGAUGCAGCGACGCCGCGUGAGGGAUGACGGCCUUCGGGUUGUAAACCUCUUUCAGCAGGGAAGAAGCGAAAGUGACGGUACCUGCAGAAGAAGCGCCGGCUAACUACGUG
RNAcentral lists this ribosomal RNA (467 nucleotides) under uncultured bacterium. Its description in RNAcentral is "partial 16S ribosomal RNA". It matches the Rfam family "Bacterial small subunit ribosomal RNA", at positions 28 to 507 of the family's 1533-position model. The record is from RNAcentral.